GUGUGGCGCAUUUCAGUAGGGCCCCACACUUGGCGUACUCUGUCGCGCACACCCGUCCGCCGCGAAUACACCGUGACUACGCUGCUCCCUCGAACUCGUAUUCAUCUUCGUACUGACCACCCUCAACGACCGUCGCCACCGAUUUCGUAAAAAUAUUUUCAUUUCUUCUCGAAUUUUCGUCGUUUGAUUUUCCAUUAAUUUUACAAUAAUUUUUUUUUUCCGUUUGUUUUAAAUUUUUUCAAGCUCGUGUCACAUAUUGUACUAUAAAAAUAAUAUCAUCAUCACCUAAUAUAAUAAUAUUAUAAUAUAGUGUUUCGACCGAAACCGUACGGCCACGCCGCCGUCAAUAUCCGGAUCGGACCGCAGAUAUGUGGCCGAAAUUUGCAUUUCUUGGACUUGUGAUCAUCCGGUUAAUGGUGUCUGCGAAUCCGGAUGCAAAGAGAUUGUACGAUGAUCUCUUGUCCAGCUACAACAAGCUCGUCAGACCCGUGGUGAAUACUAGCGAUGUUCUCCGUGUAUCUAUAAAGUUGAAACUGUCACAGCUUAUCGAUGUGAACUUGAAAAAUCAGAUAAUGACCACCAAUUUGUGGGUAGAGCAGGCGUGGAAUGAUUACAAAUUACAAUGGGACCCGAAAGAGUACGGCGGCGUGCAAAUGCUCCACGUGCCUUCUGAUCAUAUUUGGCGGCCGGAUAUCGUGCUCUACAACAAUGCGGACGGUAACUACGAGGUGACCCUUAUGACAAAGGCGACGGUUUACUGUACGGGGCUUGUAUUAUGGCAGCCACCCGCCGUCUAUAAGUCCUCGUGCUCCAUCGACGUCGAGUUCUUCCCCUAUGACGUCCAAACUUGCGUACUGAAACUAGGAAGUUGGACGUAUGACGGGUUCAAGGUAGACUUGAGACACAUGGACGAAAAGGUCGGUUCGAACAUCGUCGACGUCGGAGUGGAUCUCUCAGAAUUUUACAUGUCGGUCGAAUGGGAUAUACUGGAAGUACCAGCGGUCAGGAACGAAAAGAUCUACCCGUGUUGCGACGAACCGUAUUUAGACAUAACGUUUAACAUCACCAUGAGGAGGAAAACGCUUUUCUAUACAGUAAACAUCAUCAUACCGUGCAUGGGAAUCUCGUUCCUCACAGUUUUGACGUUUUACUUGCCAUCGGACAGCGGUGAAAAAGUGACGUUGUCUAUAUCAAUUUUGAUUAGUCUUCACGUUUUUUUCUUGCUGGUUGUCGAAAUUAUACCUCCAACGUCAUUAGUAGUUCCAUUACUAGGAAAAUACCUGAUAUUUGCUAUGAUACUGGUUUCAAUAAGCAUUUGUGUUACUGUUGUCGUAUUGAACGUUCAUUUCCGAUCACCUCAGACGCACAAAAUGGCUCCUUGGGUAAAAAGAGUGUUCAUCCAUAUACUGCCAAGACUUUUAGUCAUGCGAAGACCUCAAUACCAAUUCGAACCAAAUAAAUUCAACGCCGGUUCGAUAAUGCUGAAGGGCAGAGACAUACAUCCAUGUUUCUUCCAGGCUGGCUGUGGUUACGACAGCACAGAAGCCGGUAAAGAUAAAGGUCGCCGACAAACAGAUGACAGUAGCGUGUCGAAAGGCACCAGAGAAACGUCCAAAGAAGACUUAUCCAGUGAUGGAGAAGGAGGUAGCUGUCAGGUACACGGAGUGGCGCAGAGUCUGAUGUCCGAUGAGAUAUCAGUCACCGAAAUGACAACAGAUUGCAGUAAGAGCUCUAUUCUGCUUAGGAGCCCCGGAUUUCUGCACUCGUCCUGUCCUCCAGCCAUGCACAAAUCGUGUUUUUGCAUCCGAUUCAUCGCGGAACACACGAAAAUAACGGACGACGCGACCAAAGUGAAAGAAGAUUGGAAGUAUGUCGCGAUGGUCUUGGACAGAUUAUUUUUGUGGAUAUUUACACUGGCCGUAUUCGCGGGCACGGCAGGUAUUAUCUUACAAGCGCCCACGUUGUACGAUGACCGGAUACCGAUCGACAAAAAAUUCAGCGAAUACCAAACGUCACCUAGCAUAAGGAAGAAACUGAAGAUAGGCCGUUAUUGAAAUAAACACAUAAAGAAAACGAGUUUUUUAUGAAUGAAAAGAAAAAUCCGAUUGGAGGCCGCCUUUGACUCGGAAAGAUAUACAUCGUACAGUGUGACGCAACGCGAAGGCACCUAAAAAACAACGAAAAACAAAAACAAAUUUCCAACGCCGGUGACGACAUUUUUUUUAGUUGCAGUUUCAGUUGCAGCGGUUGUUCAUAACGAUGAUAAUAUAUUAAUAAGUUAGCCAAAAAAAAAAAAAAAAUAAUGAUAUAAUUAUGUUUUUGUACGUUUAAAUUUUGUUGUAUAUUAAGUUUUGUUAUAAUACUGAUAACGAUCAUUUCAAUGAUGCCCAGUAACAGAGUAAUUUAUUACGCAAUAAUAAUAAUGAUAAUGCAGAGACACUGUACGCGUGUGCCCAAUAAUAAUAUAUUUAGGUAUUUUGCCUAUAUUAUUAUUAUAAAAACAAAAUGUAUUUGUAUAAUUAUUAUUAUUAUUAUUAUUAUUAUUAAUUAAUUAAUUGUCGUGGCGAAUAUUGUAACAUUAAUAUAGUGACCACUGACCACAAAACUAUAAUAUAUUAUUAUUAUACAGGUUAAAUUUUAUUUAACAGUGGAUUUUUUAAAAAAAAAACUAUCCACUAUUAUUAUGAUAACGAAAAAUGCCAUUUACUAACGAUAAUAUUUUUUACGUGUUUGUGUAUUUUUAUUAUUUAUAGUUGUACUGCGUUGUCAUUUGCGUUCAAAUGCAGAAAAAAAUAUAUAUAUUUAGAUAGGGUCAUGCGUAGAGUGCCUUAAACAUAAUAUUAAUAUAAUAUUCCGUAGCCUAUCGUAUUUACAUUCUAGUCGUAUAACUUAUCGUUUUACUUUUUUUGUAUACGGUCGGAUUUAAAGUUAUGAGUAUGUGUGUGCCUACGUGCUGUUUCAUUUGAACAAUAUUAUGUGUAUGGAAAAACUGCCAAAAAUUGUAUGACGGUAAAUAAUCGAUACAACUUAUAUAUUAAUAUUAUAUUAUAUAUUAUCGACAACAAUCGUAAACAUUUUGUUAUACGGAUAAUUUGUACGUACCUAUAACUGGGUUAAACGUAUUUUCUGUUAUUGUUUUUAAAAUAAUAAUGAAGAUGUAUAAUAUCACUGUUAUCCCAUUAAGCUGAUAAAAGUUAAUUUUUUUUUUACUUUUUUAAUUAUUAAAUUGUAAAAAAAAAUACUCAAUAUUUUCACUAACUAAAUCUCAAACCAUUAAUUUUAAUAUAAUCCAAAAAGAUUAGUCUAAAAAAUUAAUUGAACCUUUCGUAUAUUGAACAUCAGAAUCUUUUAUUGGUUACUAUUGUUCAACUUUUAUCGCUCAAUGAACCGAAAUUUAAAAUAUUGAUAUAUAUAUAAAAAACCUUUAUUGCACUCAAAUAAUUAUAUCGGUCAAAAUAUAUUUUAUACUCACGAUAAUUAUUUAUACGUUUAACUAAAGGCUUAAUUUGAAUAAAAAUUCAGAAAUGAUGAAGCGCCACCAUUGUUCAGGCAUUGUUGUAAAUAUUGUGAAUUUAAAGUCUUAUGUUAAUCAGCUGCGAUCGAAUUAACGGGGGAACCAAAUUUAGCAUUACAUAAUAUAGUCUUGUUAACUGCAGCUGCAGACGAUAAACAGAAAUUUAAAAAUUUGAACAUUAUUAUUGCUCAAUGACUUGAAUUCCGUUUUUUGUUUCUAGACUUUAAGAAAUAAUAAUAUUACGUUGAAGGAUAUUAAUUAGAAGACAUAAAUUACCAACUGUUUGAACAAAAAUCGUAGAUUAUAUGGAUUGAAUAAUGUUUACGUUUAGAUUUAAAAUAUAUGCCGUGGCGUUAAAUUUAUUAAGUAAAACUAUAGUUUUAUAGAACUAUAAUAAAAUAUAAUAUUAUUUUAAAUAUAUAGGAGUGAGGAUUCGCAUGACUUCACUCGUGUUGUUCUUGCUCGUGUGCUUAAUAAUUAUGAAAUAGAUUUAAACAUAAAAAAAUAUUCAAGAACAUGUACGUUAAUAAUGUUUUAAAUGUAAUGCGUGUGUAGGCAAAGUUGAAUUGAAAAAAAUAAUACCUAUGUUAAAUUUAUGUACAUUUUUUUUUUUUUGGUGGGGAGGGUGGGUUACAAUAGACUGUGAUGUAUUAUAAUAAUAACGUUUUUAGACUAAUAUCUGUUUAUGACUGUUUGUUAUAAUAAAUACAUAUAGAAGAAACGUAAUGAAUAUAAACAAAAUCUGAUUACAUAAUUAUAUAGAUACAUGAAUGCAAAAUAAUAAUAUAAUAUGUUGUAUUAUGUA
Molecule: RNA transcript, 4319 nt
Organism: Rhopalosiphum padi (bird cherry-oat aphid)
Lineage: Eukaryota; Metazoa; Arthropoda; Insecta; Hemiptera; Aphididae
Gene: nAChRalpha4
Gene name: acetylcholine receptor subunit alpha-like
Exons: 15
Source: RefSeq, a predicted model, not a curated record